CCUACGGGGGGCAGCAGUGGGGAAUAUUGGACAAUGGGGGGAACCCUGAUCCAGCCAUGCCGCGUGUGUGAAGAAGGCCCUCGGGUUGUAAAGCACUUUCAGUGAGGAAGAACGCCUGGUGGUGAAUACCCAUCAGGAAAGACAUCACUCACAGAAGAAGCACCGGCUAACUCCGUGCCAGCAGCCGCGGUAAUACGGAGGGUGCGAGCGUUAAUCGGAAUUACUGGGCGUAAAGCGCGCGUAGGUGGCUUGAUAAGCCGGUUGUGAAAGCCCCGGGCUCAACCUGGGAACGGCAUCCGGAACUGUCAAGCUAGAGUGCAGGAGAGGAAGGUAGAAUUCCCGGUGUAGCGGUGAAAUGCGUAGAGAUCGGGAGGAAUACCAGUGGCGAAGGCGGCCUUCUGGACUGACACUGACACUGAGGUGCGAAAGCGUGGGUAGCAAACAGGAUUAGAUACCCCAGUAGUC
Molecule: ribosomal RNA, 465 nt
Filed under: Vreelandella stevensii
Lineage: Bacteria; Pseudomonadati; Pseudomonadota; Gammaproteobacteria; Oceanospirillales; Halomonadaceae
Description: partial 16S ribosomal RNA
Rfam family: Bacterial small subunit ribosomal RNA
Source: RNAcentral